RNAcentral lists this ribosomal RNA (253 nucleotides) under uncultured bacterium. RNAcentral describes it as "partial 16S ribosomal RNA". It matches the Rfam family "Bacterial small subunit ribosomal RNA", at positions 524 to 776 of the family's 1533-position model. The record is from RNAcentral.
GACAGAGGUCCCGAGCGUUAGGCGGAAUCACUGGGCUUAAAGCGUGUGUAGGCGGAUUGGUAAGUACCUUGUGAAAUCCCACGGCUUAGCCGUGGAACUGCUUGGUAUACUGCUUAUCUUGGGCCACUUAGGGGUCACCGGAACAAACGGUGGAGCGGUGAAAUGCGUAGAUAUCGUAAGGAAGACCAGUGGCGAAGGCGAGUUUCUGGACAGUAACUGACGCUGAGGCACGAAGGCCAGGGGAGCAAACGGG